CCGCUUCCAGUGUGAACACCACGCAAGAGCUAUCUGCAAGUGACUUGCAGCUUUUAGGAUUUAUUUCUAUUUCCUGCAAGUAGGAAGCGCAAGUUAUAAAAUGGAGGAGAAACGAGAAUGGACGAAACAGGAGACAGAAAAUUUUAUUGAAGCUGUGGAGAGCUACCCCGAAAUUUGGGACGUACAUAAUCGGGACUUUAAGGAUCGAAUGAAGAAGAUGUGUGCAUUGAACGAAAUCUCGUCAAUAUUCGACACAUCAGUGAAAGAGGUACAAAGAAAGUGGCAUAAUUUAAAGACCCAAUUUUCUCAAGAAGUUAGGAAACUGCAGAAAAUUAAAAGCGGCUCUCCUGGCGUAGUUUCGGAUUCUCGGUGGCCGUAUUUUUCAGCAAUGAAAUUUCUAGAGAGUAGUGUUGCCACAACCUCUAACAGAAUAUCUUCGCCAUCAACAAAGGAAGAAGAAAUAGUUACAGGAGAUGAUGUGCCUGUUGCUAAUGAGGGGAAGAAACGAAAAAGAAAGGAGACUAAAGGAAGUGGUAAUGGACUCAUUGAAAAGGCAGAAAAAAUCCUGGGCCAGG
This is a long non-coding RNA of Schistocerca cancellata (South American locust), 575 nucleotides long. RefSeq lists it as uncharacterized. Lineage: Eukaryota; Metazoa; Arthropoda; Insecta; Orthoptera; Acrididae. The record is from RefSeq and is a predicted model, not a curated record. The transcript has 3 exons.